UUUGACAGCAAAGCAUUUACAGACUCAUAUUGACUCUGUAAACCAAAUCGGUAACUCCGCAUCCAUGUGAACGACAAAUGACGAUUGUUUCCUAGCACUGCGUGCUAAGCUAUCCGCCCGAAGGUUCGCCGUCCGAGGUACAUGGACGAUGUCCGAGUUGAGGAAACUUCCUUUGAGAAGCUUGAUGUCUUCCAGAUAGCUUUCGAAUGCUGGUCAUUCUUCUGGUUCUGAAACCAUCUUCACCAA
This 246-nucleotide long non-coding RNA is filed under the name Brassica napus (rape). Its description in RNAcentral is "long non-coding RNA (BNAP_LNC021478)". Lineage: Eukaryota; Viridiplantae; Streptophyta; Magnoliopsida; Brassicales; Brassicaceae. The record is from RNAcentral.